GAUGAACGCUGGCGGCGUGCCUAAUACAUGCAAGUCGAGCGAACAGAUAAGGAGCUUGCUCCUUUGACGUUAGCGGCGGACGGGUGAGUAACACGUGGGUAACCUACCUAUAAGACUGGGAUAACUUCGGGAAACCGGAGCUAAUACCGGAUAAUAUUUCGAACCGCAUGGUUCGAUAGUGAAAGAUGGUUUUGCUAUCACUUAUAGAUGGACCCGCGCCGUAUUAGCUAGUUGGUAAGGUAACGGCUUACCAAGGCGACGAUACGUAGCCGACCUGAGAGGGUGAUCGGCCACACUGGAACUGAGACACGGUCCAGACUCCUACGGGAAGCAGCAGUAGGGAAUCUUCCGCAAUGGGCGAAAGCCUGACGGAGCAACGCCGCGUGAGUGAUGAAGGUCUUCGGAUCGUAAAACUCUGUUAUUAGGGAAGAACAUACGUGUAAGUAACUGUGCACGUCUUGACGGUACCUAAUCAGAAAGCCACGGCUAACUACGUG
RNAcentral lists this ribosomal RNA (497 nucleotides) under uncultured bacterium. RNAcentral's name for it is "partial 16S ribosomal RNA". It matches the Rfam family "Bacterial small subunit ribosomal RNA", at positions 28 to 507 of the family's 1533-position model. The record is from RNAcentral.